RNAcentral lists this ribosomal RNA (644 nucleotides) under Achromobacter mucicolens. RNAcentral describes it as "bacterial SSU rRNA". It matches the Rfam family "Bacterial small subunit ribosomal RNA", at positions 123 to 763 of the family's 1533-position model. Lineage: Bacteria; Pseudomonadati; Pseudomonadota; Betaproteobacteria; Burkholderiales; Alcaligenaceae. The record is from RNAcentral.
ACCGUGACUCUACUCGGUCGAUAACUUCCCGGUAGGGUAACUUACCCCCCUUACGCCCUACACGGGAAAGCGAGGGAUCGUAACACCUUGCCCUAUAAAAACGGCCGAUAUCGAAUUAGCUCCUUGGUGGGGUAACUGCUCAGCGGGGCAACGGUCCCUAUCUGGUUUGAGAGGACGACCGUCCACACUGGGACUGAGACACGGCCCAGACUCCAACCGGAGGCGACGGUGGGGAAUUGUGGAAUUGGGGAAAAACCCUGAUCCGGCCCUCCCCCGAGCGCGAGGAGGGCCUUGGGGUUGGAAAGCACUUUUGGUUUGAAAGAAACGUACCGGGUUAAUACCCCGGGAAACUGGGGGUACCUGCACAAGAAGAAUCGGCUCACUCCGUGUCCGUGCCCGCAGUGGUGCUUAUGGUGCAGGCGUUAACCGGACUUACAGGGCGUGAAGGUUGCGCAUGCGGUUCGGAAAGAAAAAUUUGGAUUCCCACACCUUGACUUUGGAACUGCAUUUUUAACUACCGAUGGGAACGUGUCAGAGGUAGGUGGAAUUCCGCUUGUAGGUGUAAAAUGCGAAAUAUAUGCGAGAGGAACACCGAUAGCUAAGGCGACCUCCUCUGACUGUACUGACGCUCAUGCUGAAGCACG